UGAGGAAUAUUGGUCAAUGGGCGGGAGCCUGAACCAGCCAAGCCGCGUGAAGGAAGAAGGCGCUAAGCGUCGUAAACAUCUUUUGUCGGGGAACAAAGGUCCGGACGUGUCCGGAUGAGAGUGUACCCGAAGAAAAAGCAUCGGCUAACUCCGUGCCAGCAGCCGCGGUAAUACGGAGGAUGCGAGCGCUAUCCGGAUUUAUUGGGUUUAAAGGGUGCGUAGGCGGUCUGUUAAGUCAGCGGUAAAAGCCCGGGGCUCAACCCGGCGAGCCGUUGAAACUGGCGGACUAGAGAGGGCGAGAAGUACGCGGAAUGCGCAGUGUAGCGGUGAAAUGCAUAGAUAUUGCGCAGAACUCCGAUUGCGAAGGCAGCGUACCGGCGCCUUUCUGACGCUGAGGCACGAAAGCGUGGGUAUCGAACAGGAUUAGAUACC
This 432-nucleotide ribosomal RNA is filed under the name uncultured bacterium. RNAcentral describes it as "bacterial SSU rRNA". It matches the Rfam family "Bacterial small subunit ribosomal RNA", at positions 355 to 786 of the family's 1533-position model. The record is from RNAcentral.